RNAcentral lists this ribosomal RNA (464 nucleotides) under Sanguirana sp. 'Negros-Panay'. RNAcentral's name for it is "partial 12S ribosomal RNA". It matches the Rfam family "Bacterial small subunit ribosomal RNA", at positions 868 to 1533 of the family's 1533-position model. Lineage: Eukaryota; Metazoa; Chordata; Amphibia; Anura; Ranidae. The record is from RNAcentral.
AGCGCCAGGGAAUUACGAGCAAUGCUUAAAACCCAAAGGAUUUGACGGUAUCCCAUCCACCUAGAGGAGCCUGUUCUAUAAUCGAUAACCCCCGCUAUACCCAACCACCCCUAGCCUAUCAGUCUGUAUACCUCCGUCGAAAGCCUACCAUGUGAAUGUGCUCAGUAAGCUUAAUGUCCUCAUCAAAACGUCAGGUCAAGGUGCAGCUCAUGGGAUGGAAAGCAAUGGGCUACAAUUUCUAAUUUAGAACAUACGAAAUACUAGGUGAAACCCUAGUCAUGAAGGCGGAUUUAGCAGUAAAAAGAAAAUAGAGUGUUCUUUUUAACCUGGCCCUGGGAUGUGUACACACCGCCCGUCACCCUCUUCGACAAUUAUUAAUUCUGUUUCAUAACUCCCCUCCCCCCACCUUAGAAGAGGCAAGUCGUAACAUGGUAAGUGUACUGGAAAGUGCACUUGGCUAAUUU